Myotis lucifugus (little brown bat) is the source of this 107-nucleotide small nuclear RNA. The record is from Ensembl. Lineage: Eukaryota; Metazoa; Chordata; Mammalia; Chiroptera; Vespertilionidae.
GUGCUCGCUGCUGCGGCACAUAUACCAACAUUGGAACGAGACAGAGAAGAUUGGCAUGGCCCCUGUGCAAGGAUGACAUGGAAAUUCGUGAAACGUUCCAUAUUAAA